UGGGUGCGAAAUAGACUUACCUCCACGUGGUGCACCCCUGGGCAACGUAUUCUCAUACGGCAAAAAAGUCUAU
RNAcentral lists this ribozyme (73 nucleotides) under Rodentolepis nana. RNAcentral's name for it is "Hymenolepis nana HDV ribozyme from F. prausnitzii". It matches the Rfam family "HDV ribozyme from F. prausnitzii". The record is from Rfam by way of RNAcentral. Lineage: Eukaryota; Metazoa; Platyhelminthes; Cestoda; Cyclophyllidea; Hymenolepididae.